This 484-nucleotide ribosomal RNA is filed under the name uncultured bacterium. RNAcentral describes it as "partial 16S ribosomal RNA". It matches the Rfam family "Bacterial small subunit ribosomal RNA", at positions 30 to 507 of the family's 1533-position model. The record is from RNAcentral.
AUUGAACGCUGGCGGCAGGCCUAACACAUGCAAGUCGAGCGGAUGAAGGGAGCUUGCUCCUGGAUUCAGCGGCGGACGGGUGAGUAAUGCCUAGGAAUCUGCCUGGUAGUGGGGGAUAACGUCCGUAAACGGGCGCUAAUACCGCAUACGUCCUGAGGUAGAAAGUGGGGGAUCUUCGGACCUCACGCUAUCAGAUGAGCCUAGGUCGGAUUAGCUAGUUGGUGGGGUAAAGGCCUACCAAGGCGACGAUCCGUAACUGGUCUGGGAGGAUGAUCAGUCACACUGGAACUGAGACACGGUCCAGACUCCUACGGGAGGCAGCAGUGGGGAAUAUUGGACAAUGGGCGAAAGCCUGAUCCAGCCAUGCCGCGUGUGUGAAGAAGGUCUUCGGAUUGUAAAGCACUGUAAGUUGGGAGGAAGGGCAGUAAGUUAAUACCUUGCUGUUUUGACGUUACCAACAGAAUAAGCACCGGCUAACUUCGUG